CGUAGGGUGCGAGCGUUAAUCGGAAUUACUGGGCGUAAAGUGUGCGCAGGUGGCCGCGCAAGUCGAGUGUGAAAUCCCCGGGCUUAACUUGGGAAUUGCGCUCGAAACUACGUGGCUCGAGUGUGGCAGAGGAAGGUGGAAUUCCACGUGUAGCGGUGAAAUGCGUAGAGAUGUGGAGGAACACCGAUGGCGAAGGCAGCCUUCUGGGCCAACACUGACGCUCAUGCACGAAAGCGUGGGGAGCAAACAGGAUUAGAUACCCUGGUAGUCCACGCCCUAAACGAUGAUGACUAGUUGUUGGAGGAGUUAAAUCCUUUAGUAACGCAGCUAACGCGUGAAGUCAUCCGCCUGGGGAGUACGGUCGCAAGAUUA
This 372-nucleotide ribosomal RNA is filed under the name uncultured organism. RNAcentral's name for it is "bacterial SSU rRNA". It matches the Rfam family "Bacterial small subunit ribosomal RNA", at positions 526 to 896 of the family's 1533-position model. The record is from RNAcentral.